UACAGGGGGUGCAAACGUUGCUCGGAAUUAUUGGGCGUAAAGCGCGCGUAGGCGGCUACCUAAGUCGGAUGUGAAAGCCCCUGGCUUAACUGGGGAAGUGCACCCGAAACUGAGUAGCUAGGAGUGCGAAAGAGGGUCGCGGAAUUCCCGGUGUAGAGGUGAAAUUCGUAGAUAUCGGGAGGAACACCGGUGGCGAAGGCGGCGACCUGGGUCGACACUGACGCUGAGGCGCGAAAGCGUGGGGAGCAAACAGG
This 254-nucleotide ribosomal RNA is filed under the name uncultured bacterium. RNAcentral's name for it is "partial 16S ribosomal RNA". It matches the Rfam family "Bacterial small subunit ribosomal RNA", at positions 524 to 776 of the family's 1533-position model. The record is from RNAcentral.